This 2544-nucleotide ribosomal RNA is filed under the name Klebsiella pneumoniae. RNAcentral describes it as "23S ribosomal RNA". It matches the Rfam family "Bacterial large subunit ribosomal RNA", at positions 399 to 2925 of the family's 2925-position model. The record is from RNAcentral. Lineage: Bacteria; Pseudomonadati; Pseudomonadota; Gammaproteobacteria; Enterobacterales; Enterobacteriaceae.
GUGAACUCGAAGAGUAGGGCGGGACACGUGGUAUCCUGUCUGAAUAUGGGGGGACCAUCCUCCAAGGCUAAAUACUCCUGACUGACCGAUAGUGAACCAGUACCGUGAGGGAAAGGCGAAAAGAACCCCGGCGAGGGGAGUGAAAAAGAACCUGAAACCGUGUACGUACAAGCAGUGGGAGCACCUUCGGGUGUGACUGCGUACCUUUUGUAUAAUGGGUCAGCGACUUAUAUUCUGUAGCAAGGUUAACCGUAUAGGGGAGCCGCAGGGAAACCGAGUCUUAACUGGGCGUUAAGUUGCAGGGUAUAGACCCGAAACCCGGUGAUCUAGCCAUGGGCAGGUUGAAGGUUGGGUAACACUAACUGGAGGACCGAACCGACUAAUGUUGAAAAAUUAGCGGAUGACUUGUGGCUGGGGGUGAAAGGCCAAUCAAACCGGGAGAUAGCUGGUUCUCCCCGAAAGCUAUUUAGGUAGCGCCUCGUGAAUUCAUCUUCGGGGGUAGAGCACUGUUUCGGCUAGGGGGUCAUCCCGACUUACCAACCCGAUGCAAACUACGAAUACCGAAGAAUGUUAUCACGGGAGACACACGGCGGGUGCUAACGUCCGUCGUGAAGAGGGAAACAACCCAGACCGCCAGCUAAGGUCCCAAAGUCAUGGUUAAGUGGGAAACGAUGUGGGAAGGCACAGACAGCCAGGAUGUUGGCUUAGAAGCAGCCAUCAUUUAAAGAAAGCGUAAUAGCUCACUGGUCGAGUCGGCCUGCGCGGAAGAUGUAACGGGGCUAAACCAUGCACCGAAGCUGCGGCAGCGACACUAUGUGUUGUUGGGUAGGGGAGCGUUCUGUAAGCCUGCGAAGGUGACCUGUGAGGGUUGCUGGAGGUAUCAGAAGUGCGAAUGCUGACAUAAGUAACGAUAAAGCGGGUGAAAAGCCCGCUCGCCGGAAGACCAAGGGUUCCUGUCCAACGUUAAUCGGGGCAGGGUGAGUCGACCCCUAAGGCGAGGCCGAAAGGCGUAGUCGAUGGGAAACAGGUUAAUAUUCCUGUACUUGGUGUUACUGCGAAGGGGGGACGGAGAAGGCUAUGUUAGCCGGGCGACGGUUGUCCCGGUUUAAGCAUGUAGGCUGGUUGUCCAGGCAAAUCCGGAUAAUCAAGGCUGAGGUGUGAUGACGAGGCACUACGGUGCUGAAGUAACAAAUGCCCUGCUUCCAGGAAAAGCCUCUAAGCAUCAGGUAACAUCAAAUCGUACCCCAAACCGACACAGGUGGUCAGGUAGAGAAUACCAAGGCGCUUGAGAGAACUCGGGUGAAGGAACUAGGCAAAAUGGUGCCGUAACUUCGGGAGAAGGCACGCUGGUGUGUAGGUGAAGCCCCUGCGGGUGGAGCUGAGACCAGUCGAAGAUACCAGCUGGCUGCAACUGUUUAUUAAAAACACAGCACUGUGCAAACACGAAAGUGGACGUAUACGGUGUGACGCCUGCCCGGUGCCGGAAGGUUAAUUGAUGGGGUUAUCCGUAAGGAGAAGCUCUUGAUCGAAGCCCCGGUAAACGGCGGCCGUAACUAUAACGGUCCUAAGGUAGCGAAAUUCCUUGUCGGGUAAGUUCCGACCUGCACGAAUGGCGUAAUGAUGGCCAGGCUGUCUCCACCCGAGACUCAGUGAAAUUGAACUCGCUGUGAAGAUGCAGUGUACCCGCGGCAAGACGGAAAGACCCCGUGAACCUUUACUAUAGCUUGACACUGAACAUUGAGCCUUGAUGUGUAGGAUAGGUGGGAGGCUUUGAAGCGUGGACGCCAGUCUGCGUGGAGCCAACCUUGAAAUACCACCCUUUAAUGUUUGAUGUUCUAACGUUGGCCCCUUACCGGGGUUGCGGACAGUGUCUGGUGGGUAGUUUGACUGGGGCGGUCUCCUCCCAAAGCGUAACGGAGGAGCACGAAGGUUAGCUAAUCCUGGUCGGACAUCAGGAGGUUAGUGCAAUGGCAUAAGCUAGCUUGACUGCGAGCGUGACGGCGCGAGCAGGUGCGAAAGCAGGUCAUAGUGAUCCGGUGGUUCUGAAUGGAAGGGCCAUCGCUCAACGGAUAAAAGGUACUCCGGGGAUAACAGGCUGAUACCGCCCAAGAGUUCAUAUCGACGGCGGUGUUUGGCACCUCGAUGUCGGCUCAUCACAUCCUGGGGCUGAAGUAGGUCCCAAGGGUAUGGCUGUUCGCCAUUUAAAGUGGUACGCGAGCUGGGUUUAGAACGUCGUGAGACAGUUCGGUCCCUAUCUGCCGUGGGCGCUGGAGAAUUGAGGGGGGCUGCUCCUAGUACGAGAGGACCGGAGUGGACGCAUCACUGGUGUUCGGGUUGUCAUGCCAAUGGCACUGCCCGGUAGCUAAAUGCGGAAGAGAUAAGUGCUGAAAGCAUCUAAGCACGAAACUUGCCCCGAGAUGAGUUCUCCCUGAGACUUUAAGUCUCCUGAAGGAACGUUGAAGACGACGACGUUGAUAGGCCGGGUGUGUAAGCGCAGCGAUGCGUUGAGCUAACCGGUACUAAUGAACCGUGAGGCUUAACCUU